GUCCCGCCCGGUGCCGGCUCGCGGGUGCCGCUGUCCCGUCAGCCUCCCGCGUGCAGCCCGCCCCGCAGCGCAGCGCCCUUUAUGCCUCCCCGCCCUGCGCCCCGAGAACUGCGCGCGGGGUCGAUGGGGCGCGAGCGCGCACUAAGCGCGGGCGCGGGAGGCAGAGCCAGUUUGCACGCCAGCGCCCUCUGCCGUUCAGAGGAGCCUCAAUGUCCAUGCACCAGGACCCAGCAAUGCCAGAGGGAGGAAGCAGGUCAGCUCACUGAUGGGAUGCGUUUAGGGAAAAGUAAGGGUGCAAUGAGGCCUUCUGAAGCUGGACCCCGGUUUUCAAUACUAGAAGAACGAAUACCAACAGCUAGAAAGAAAUGCGUGAAAAAUCCCGACCCUGCAGGGACCCUCUAGUGUAGGCUGGCUAUGCAAAUUACAGCAAGUCUCUGGACUUGCCAGAACCUGCUUGAUACUCUACCAGGAAUAGUAUGAAAAGAAUCAUCUUUUCACCCUAACUUCUGAUGAUGCAAAUGAAAGGAAGAGUCCUUAACCUGCCCGGACCUGAGGCUCAGGCUCCCUGCAUAUAUAUGAAGCAAAAGCCACAACAUUUCAUUUCUUUCUGUUAGAGCCACCAGUGGAUGGGAAUUCCCAGAAGCAAAGCACAGUGUUAAACAAGUUGCAUCACUCAAUCUUAAACCUGAAACAAGGAGAUACAAUCUAAACUUCUAGAAUUUGGAACGGGUCCAGACAGAAUACAGCCGGGAAAGGGAUGCAGGAAAGAAUUCCAUGUCUGUGUCCCUGACAACUCAGAGCCCUGGUCUCAUUCACAAAGGACACUGCCCCAUGGCAUAUGACCCUCAAGGUUUAAAAUAAAGAGUACAGAAGACAC
Molecule: long non-coding RNA, 877 nt
Organism: Mastomys coucha (southern multimammate mouse)
Lineage: Eukaryota; Metazoa; Chordata; Mammalia; Rodentia; Muridae
Exons: 2
Source: RefSeq, a predicted model, not a curated record